This is a long non-coding RNA of Pseudophryne corroboree (corroboree frog), 561 nucleotides long. RefSeq lists it as uncharacterized. The record is from RefSeq and is a predicted model, not a curated record. NCBI's taxonomy places the organism in Eukaryota, Metazoa, Chordata, Amphibia, Anura, Myobatrachidae. The transcript has 3 exons.
UUGAGACUUCAGCAAGGAAAGGGUUAAGAACAUUUUCUAUGCUAUAGCUGUCAUGCGCUUGGACAGUUAACAGCCGUGUGCCGAGUCUGUUGGCAGUUGGGCGGCGGCCAUCUUAGGAGGAUGGGCAGAGUGAAACAGGACCUCGGAGCAGAAGGUGCUGAGCUGAUUUGGUGGUGUACAUGGUGACCAAAGGAGACUCCUUACCUGAUCUUCAAUAAAUCAGAGUCCAGCAGCUGACAAAGAGAGUGUCUAUGGAGUGUUGCCAGAUAUGGUAUGGAACAUCUUAUGGCGACAAAGAAUCUCGGGCUGCCCUUAUGGAAGUGGCAUAACUACUAGGUGCAGGGGAUGCGGCUGCUACGGGGCCCAAGAUGACUGCAGGGCCCGUCACUACCCUGCACCCAAAAGUACGGGUCACAGGCCAGACUGGUUGAAUCGGUGCACUGCUGAGAUGUCUGUGAGCUGAGGAAUGGCUCAUAUGAAUUUGAAACAUGUAAGUUAUGUUUGCACGUACCAAUCAAGCUAUAGAAAAGGAAAUAAAAUAAAAAAUAGUUUUAUAUGUUA